AACGAACGCUGGCGGCAGGCCUAACACAUGCAAGUCGAGCGAGGACUUCGGUCCUAGCGGCGGACGGGUGAGUAACGCGUGGGAACGUGCCCUUUGCUUCGGAAUAGCCCUGGGAAACUGGGAGUAAUACCGGAUGAGCCCUUUGGGGGAAAGAUUUAUCGGCGAAGGAUCGGCCCGCGUUGGAUUAGGUAGUUGGUGGGGUAAUGGCCUACCAAGCCGACGAUCCAUAGCUGGUUUGAGAGGAUGAUCAGCCACACUGGGACUGAGACACGGCCCCGACUCCUACGGGAGGCAGCAGUGGGGAAUCUUAGACAAUGGGGGAAACCCUGAUCUAGCCAUGCCGCGUGAGCGAUGAAGGCCUUAGGGUUGUAAAGCUCUUUCAGCUGGGAAGAUAAUGACGGUACCAGCAGAAGAAGCCCCGGCUAACUCCGUG
RNAcentral lists this ribosomal RNA (433 nucleotides) under uncultured bacterium. Its description in RNAcentral is "partial 16S ribosomal RNA". It matches the Rfam family "Bacterial small subunit ribosomal RNA", at positions 29 to 507 of the family's 1533-position model. The record is from RNAcentral.